GGUUGAGUAGCCAAGUGGUUGAAGGCAGGAGCCUGCAAAGCUCUUAAACGUGGGUUCAAAUCCCACCUCGACCU
RNAcentral lists this transfer RNA (74 nucleotides) under Kamptonema sp. SIO1D9. Its description in RNAcentral is "tRNA-Cys". It matches the Rfam family "tRNA". From Rfam's summary of the family: Transfer RNA (tRNA) molecules are approximately 80 nucleotides in length. Lineage: Bacteria; Bacillati; Cyanobacteriota; Cyanophyceae; Oscillatoriales; Microcoleaceae. The record is from RNAcentral. RNAcentral also lists the same sequence under 3 other names.